UACGUAGGGCGCAAGCGUUGUCCGGAAUUAUUGGGCGUAAAGAGCUCGUAGGCGGCUUGUCACGUCGAUUGUGAAAGCCCCGAGGCUUAACCUCGGGUCUGCAGUCGAUACGGGGCUAGCUAGAGUGUGGUAGGGGGAGAUCGGAAUUCCUGGUGUAGCGGUGAAAUGCGCAGAUAUCAGGAGGAACACCGGUGGCGAAGGCGGAUCUCUGGGCCAUUACUGACGCUGAGGAGCGAAAGCGUGGGGAGCGAACAGG
Molecule: ribosomal RNA, 256 nt
Filed under: uncultured bacterium
Lineage: Bacteria
Description: partial 16S ribosomal RNA
Rfam family: Bacterial small subunit ribosomal RNA
Source: RNAcentral